AGGAAAACAAUAUCAAAUUGAGGAAUUAUAGAGGCCUAUCAUAGAAACAUCAGUGUUUAUUGAUAUCUUUGGAUUAACAAUAAUUUGAGAAACAUAUAAACUUCUCUCAUAUAUAUUCCAGCCACAUAUUAGUCACCAUAAAAAUUCUACAUAAAAGAUAAAAGAAACAAAUGACAAAAAGUAUUAAAGAAAAUCAGUUUAACAAAGAUAUAUAGUGAACGCAUGAAACUAAUUAAUAGACAUAUCAGAAUAGUUGAACGCUUUUUUGUUUCUGUGUCUCAUCGUUUCUUUGCAGCUUCUUCCCCAUAUUCAUAUCCAAGAGUUAAGAAAUUAAGCUGAGUAAGAUAUUAAAAUUGGGAGAAAAGACUUGGAAGAAGUCUUGAACUUUUGGUGGGAGCUCCUUUGAGAGGGAGGCAACAACAAAUAACUAGGCUUCUUUUUUCAUCUCUAUUUCAAAAGAAAAAAAGAAUCCUUAUAACUAUUCAAAUCCAUAAAAGAAAAAUCACCUCUGGCUUUACUCUCUUC
Molecule: long non-coding RNA, 525 nt
Filed under: Gossypium raimondii (Peruvian cotton)
Lineage: Eukaryota; Viridiplantae; Streptophyta; Magnoliopsida; Malvales; Malvaceae
Description: long non-coding RNA (GRAI_LNC002718)
Source: RNAcentral